Chinchilla lanigera (long-tailed chinchilla) is the source of this 206-nucleotide long non-coding RNA. RefSeq lists it as uncharacterized. NCBI's taxonomy places the organism in Eukaryota, Metazoa, Chordata, Mammalia, Rodentia, Chinchillidae. The record is from RefSeq and is a predicted model, not a curated record. The transcript is spliced from 2 exons.
ACGAACAUAAACACAGCAAUACUCAAGAGCUGAUCUGAUAACCAAUGUGGCAGCUAAGUGACUAGCAGGUACAGAGAUGCUGACACAUAGACAUGAGAUCCGGGGUCAAAUUUUGGAGCCUGACAUCUUCAAGAAGAAAAAUGGAAACACUGCUAAGUGUUCACACUUUCCCUGUGAAAGCACAGAAACAACACUCCCAAGCCCAG